AUUGAACGCUGGCGGCAUGCUUUACACAUGCAAGUCGAACGGCAGCGCGGGCUUCGGCCUGGCGGCGAGUGGCGAACGGGUGAGUAAUGCAUCGGAACGUGCCCAGUAGUGGGGGAUAGCCCGGCGAAAGCCGGAUUAAUACCGCAUACGACCUGAGGGUGAACGCGGGGGACCGAAAGACCUCGCGCGAUUGGAGCGGCCGAUGUCGGAUUAGCUAGUUGGUGGGGUAAAGGCUUACCAAGGCGACGUUCCGUAGCUGGUCUGAGAGGACGGCCAGCCACACUGGGACUGAGACACGGCCCAGGCUCCUACGGGAGGCGGCAGUGGGGAAUUUUGGGCAAUGGGGGCAGACCUUAGCCAGCCAGGCCGCGUGCGGGAAGAAGGCCUUCGGGUUGUAAACCGCUUUUGUUCGGGAAGAAAUCCUCUGGGCUAAUACCCCGGGGGGAUGACGGUACCGGAAGAAUAAGCACCGGCUAACUACGUG
Molecule: ribosomal RNA, 484 nt
Filed under: uncultured bacterium
Lineage: Bacteria
Description: partial 16S ribosomal RNA
Rfam family: Bacterial small subunit ribosomal RNA
Source: RNAcentral